Long non-coding RNA from Daphnia magna, 1546 nucleotides. RefSeq lists it as uncharacterized. The transcript is spliced from 2 exons. NCBI's taxonomy places the organism in Eukaryota, Metazoa, Arthropoda, Branchiopoda, Diplostraca, Daphniidae. The record is from RefSeq and is a predicted model, not a curated record.
CACAUUGUUCCCUAGAGUCCUAGUUUCCUACGCUUAAUCUGGCUUAAUCGUGCUCACUGAUAACACUGCUUACUGGUCACUGCUUUUUGCUUCCUCGAUUCUGACAUGAUGGGCUGAAAUUGAAUAUAAAUAAUUUGGCAUUGAUGCAAAAGCAUGCAAAAGGGACUUCAUACAUUCCUAUAGGCCAUGCCACCAAUCUGCCAUAACCAACAACCACAUGAAACGUGACGGUCAUUUCGGCAAGGACGUGCAUGUGAUUUUUCUCCCAGCUGCCAGUAUACCAUGUCCGUUAAAGUUGAAGAUCAGAAUUUUGGUGUGACAUGUGUUACUUGGAAAUGUGAAAUGAGUUACAAAACCUGUUCGUUCGAAAAAAUGAACUUUAAGUUGAAUAGAGUUACAAUAAGCCACACAUCUUAGUUUGAAAUCUCCUGGGCUAGUCUCAAUCACUACGCCUAUAAGAUGCUCAUUCGCUUGCUGAACAUCAUAAGUCGUUAAAUCUGAAGGAGCUCCAUGAAAGGCUAUUGAAAAGUAGUUUAGAGAUACAACUUCACUUCGAAAGCACCUUGCAUACGCCAUUUUGCCAAAACGUGUUCCGGUGUUCGCCACAACGGCUUGUUUAGAUGGCCGAUCAAAUUGAGAGAAAUUCCAAUGGACUGAGCUUGGCUGUGGUCUAGUCUCUCUUCGGUUGCCGUCAGAUCAGCCAGGUAUGAUCCUAAAGUCGUUAAGUAAAAUCCCUCCAAUAAAGGCCACAAGGCGUAGGUUUCGAAGGUAUUGCGCACCUCGCUUAAGCUAAAAGCCUAAAAUGGACUGCGCCAGUCACCAUCAGUACACGGAAUUGAAACUAAAGUGAUCUAAUCCACGUAGUUUUAAUACAAGUGAAGAACUUGAAGCCGCAAAUACUGCUUUGUUUGGGUAUUCAACCUCAAUUCAUAUUAACCGGUGACUAUGCUGGAAAGAGUUUUUGUGACCAUGACAAACGGCGUUUAUUUUUGCUGAACUCCAAAUUGAUAUAGGAUCAAAGUUGAACGCAAAGUGCAUGGAAAUAUGGGAAGGCACCAUCCAUGGAAUGUAAACUACAUAGAGAAACAUUUAGCAGUACUGUAAAAGAAGAUUCAUCAAUGAAGCAUUUGAAAGUGAUCAAUGAUUUCUUGGUGAAAGUGUUCAGCUUUUUGUAGCAUGUCUGUUUCAACGCGAAGUUGCUCCAGCUUUAGGCGUCUCCGGUCAACCUCCACCUAUUGUACGUGAAUAGUAUUUCAGGUAAAGCAACGCCUGACUGCAGCUUGUAUGAUUUGUAGGAUUUUAAGACGUACCAUUAGUUGACGCUGAUCCUGUUCCUUUUUUUUCCGUAACGCAUCGAGUAAGAGCCGGUAACCAAUGGCUCGUUUCUUCUCGAUCUCUACAGCUACCGCCGUCCUUCUGGCUUCUUUUUUGAAAGCAUCAACCGUUUUCUCAAAAUUUUUCGUUGCUAUAAAGUAAAACGUUAGAUUAUCUUGUGCAUGUUCUGAAAUUAGAAAUAAACGCAAUAGUUAGUGUUUGAAAAUUAAAA